Molecule: non-coding RNA, 136 nt
Organism: Triticum aestivum (bread wheat)
Lineage: Eukaryota; Viridiplantae; Streptophyta; Magnoliopsida; Poales; Poaceae
Source: Rfam
UGUGUACUCCCUCCGUUCCAAAAUACUUGACUUCCAUUUGUCCAAAAAUGGAUGUACCUAUAUACUAAAACAUGUCUAGGUACAUAUAUAUUUUGACAAAUAUAAGGCAUGUAUUGUGCAACGGAGGGAGUAGAGU